UCUAUCCCUGGGGAGCAGAAAUUCAGCUGGUUGUCAGUGAAAUGAAACUAACAUUGAGUAUGGACCGUGUAUCAAGCCCUUUCUAAGCGCUUUACCUUCAUCAUCUCGUUUAAACCUCCCAACAACUUUUCAAGCUGCGGUGUUCUGAACAGCAGUCCAGCUGUGAGGGGAGGUGCCCAUGGCAGGCCUCAGCUGACCCUGGAGAGGCUGUUAAGACCUGGCUGUCGCCUCCAUAGCUGCUCAGAGGCAGAGAAGGGUGGCUUUAUAAGAUGAAGAAAAGAGAUCACUCUCUUUCCACCAUUGAGGACCCAGCAAGAAGGUGGCUGUCUGCAAGCCGGGAAGAGAGCCCUCACCAGGAAUCUGCUGGGAUCUUAAUCUUGGACUUUCCAGCCUCCACAACUGUGAGAAAUAAAGGUAUGUUGCUUAAGCCACCCAGUUUGUGGUAUUUUGUUAUGGCAGUCCUAGCUGACUAAAAAAUACUGCC
Long non-coding RNA from Cebus imitator (Panamanian white-faced capuchin), 484 nucleotides. RefSeq lists it as uncharacterized. The record is from RefSeq and is a predicted model, not a curated record. NCBI's taxonomy places the organism in Eukaryota, Metazoa, Chordata, Mammalia, Primates, Cebidae. The transcript has 3 exons.